This 253-nucleotide ribosomal RNA is filed under the name uncultured bacterium. RNAcentral describes it as "partial 16S ribosomal RNA". It matches the Rfam family "Bacterial small subunit ribosomal RNA", at positions 524 to 776 of the family's 1533-position model. The record is from RNAcentral.
UACGAAGGGUGCAAGCGUUGUUCGGAUUUAUUGGGCGUAAAGCGCGUGUAGGCUGACCUGCCAGUCAGAUGUGAAAUCUCGGGGCUCAACCCCGAAACUGCGUCUGAAACUACAGGUCUAGAAUCUCGGAGGGGAAAGGGGUAUUUCGCAUGUAGGGGUAAAAUCCGUAGAUAUGCGAAGGAACACCAGAGGCGAAGGCGCCUUUCUGGACGAGUAUUGACGCUGAGACGCGAAAGCGUGGGGAUCAAACAGG